RNAcentral lists this ribosomal RNA (255 nucleotides) under uncultured bacterium. Its description in RNAcentral is "partial small subunit ribosomal RNA". It matches the Rfam family "Bacterial small subunit ribosomal RNA", at positions 26 to 285 of the family's 1533-position model. The record is from RNAcentral.
AGGACGAACGCUGGCGGCGUGCUUAACACAUGCAAGUCGAACGGAAAGGCCCUUCGGGGUACACGAGCGGCGAACGGGUGAGUAACACGUGGGUAACCUGCCCUGUACUGUGGGAUAAGCCUGGGAAACUGGGUCUAAUACCGCAUAUGACUGCAUCCUGCAUGGGGUGUGGUGGAAAGUUCUGGCGGUACAGGAUGGGCCCGCGGCCUAUCAGCUUGUUGGUGGGGUGAUGGCCUACCAAGGCGACGACGGGUA